RNAcentral lists this transfer RNA (76 nucleotides) under Ignavibacteria bacterium GWA2_35_9. Its description in RNAcentral is "tRNA-Thr". It matches the Rfam family "tRNA". Rfam says of the family: Transfer RNA (tRNA) molecules are approximately 80 nucleotides in length. Their secondary structure includes four short double-helical elements and three loops (D, anti-codon, and T loops). Further hydrogen bonds mediate the characteristic L-shaped molecular structure. tRNAs have two regions of fundamental functional importance: the anti-codon, which is responsible for specific mRNA codon recognition, and the 3' end, to which the tRNAs corresponding amino acid is attached (by aminoacyl-tRNA synthetases). tRNAs cope with the degeneracy of the genetic code in two manners: having more than one tRNA (with a specific anti-codon) for a particular amino acid; and 'wobble' base-pairing, i.e. permitting non-standard base-pairing at the 3rd anti-codon position. Lineage: Bacteria; Pseudomonadati; Ignavibacteriota; Ignavibacteria. RNAcentral also lists the same sequence under 4 other names. The record is from RNAcentral.
GCCAGCUUAGCUCAGCUGGUAGAGCAGCUCAUUCGUAAUGAGCAGGUCGUCGGUUCGAAUCCGUCAGCUGGCUCAA